AAAUUGAAGAGUUUGAUCAUGGCUCAGAUUGAACGCUGGCGGCAGGCCUAACACAUGCAAGUCGAACGGUAACAGGAAGCAGCUUGCUGCUUCGCUGACGAGUGGCGGACGGGUGAGUAAUGU
This 123-nucleotide ribosomal RNA is filed under the name Escherichia coli. RNAcentral describes it as "partial 16S ribosomal RNA". It matches the Rfam family "Bacterial small subunit ribosomal RNA", at positions 1 to 116 of the family's 1533-position model. The record is from RNAcentral. Lineage: Bacteria; Pseudomonadati; Pseudomonadota; Gammaproteobacteria; Enterobacterales; Enterobacteriaceae. RNAcentral also lists the same sequence under 13 other names.